GACGAACGCUGGCGGCGUGCCUAACACAUGCAAGUCGAGCGAGAUUAAGUGUAGUGGAGACUUCGGUCAAAGUGAAGCUUAUGAAAGCGGCGGACGGGUGAGUAACGCGUGGGCAACCUGCCCCAUACAGAGGGAUAGCCACUGGAAACGGUGAUUAAUACCUCAUAAGUCAGUAGGAUCGCAUGAUUUAGCUGACAAAGAUUUAUCGGUAUGGGAUGGGCCCGCGUCUGAUUAGCUAGUUGGUGAGGUAACGGCUCACCAAGGCGACGAUCAGUAGCCGACCUGAGAGGGUGAUCGGCCACACUGGAACUGAGACACGGUCCAGACUCCUACGGGAGGCAGCAGUGGGGAAUAUUGCACAAUGGGCGCAAGCCUGAUGCAGCAACGCCGCGUGAGUGAUGAAGGCCUUCGGGUUGUAAAACUCUGUCCUAUGGGAAGAAACAAAUGACGGUACCAUGGGAGGAAGCCCCGGCUAACUACGUGCCAGCCGCCGCCGUAA
This 499-nucleotide ribosomal RNA is filed under the name uncultured bacterium. RNAcentral's name for it is "partial 16S ribosomal RNA". It matches the Rfam family "Bacterial small subunit ribosomal RNA", at positions 28 to 523 of the family's 1533-position model. The record is from RNAcentral.